AGAAUCAACGCUGGCGGCGUGCCUCAGACAUGCAAGUCGAACGCGAAAGUCUCCUUCGGGGGACAAGUAGAGUGGCGCACGGGUGAGUAACACGUAGGUAAUCUACCUUUGGAUGGGGAAUAACAACCGGAAACGGUUGCUAGUACCGCAUAAUGCAGCGGCACCUAAUGGUGACAGUUGUUAAAGCGGGGGAUCGAAAGACCUCGCGUCUGAAGAGGAGCCUGCGGCGGAUUAGCUAGUUGGUAAGGUAAUGGCUUACCAAGGUCUAACGACUCC
Molecule: ribosomal RNA, 276 nt
Filed under: uncultured soil bacterium
Lineage: Bacteria
Description: partial 16S ribosomal RNA
Rfam family: Bacterial small subunit ribosomal RNA
Source: RNAcentral